Long non-coding RNA from Cyprinus carpio carpio, 2338 nucleotides. The record is from Ensembl. Lineage: Eukaryota; Metazoa; Chordata; Actinopteri; Cypriniformes; Cyprinidae.
GUUUUUACAUAAAUAUGUGUUACACUGAAUGACCAUGUGUCACAGACACGCCAGGCUCCAACCCCUUCCAAUCACAGCGCACUCCCUCACCUGAGUACUGAUCACACACACCUGCCCCUCGUCAGCACCCCAAUCUACUAGCACUUAAAAGACACUCACACACAGUCACUGUCCGGUCUUGUUUGCAUCUAGGACUUACCUACCUGCCAACUUCAAGGACUUCCAUUGCUAUACUUACCCAUCUCCAGUGAUUCCCAGUUAUCGCCUGUGUCGAGUGUGUGUGUCUCCAACCCUCAAUGUCUCCACUCCUCUGCUACCUCUAGAACCUUCAAUCCACUUCAAGACAAGGACAGUAUCAGUUUACUCACACUCCUCAGUUACUGUUAUCACCACUGUUUACUCACCUGUGUACCAUACCUCCUCUGCUUGUGUCAAUAAAUACCACCUAUCUGUGAUCUUCUGUCUCCGACCCAUCUGUACUGUAACAGAAGACCGGACCAAAACAGACUGACACAAGCAUGAGCCAUCCAGACCCCUUUCAGGACCUUGUAGACGCCUUGUGUCGAACACUCAACGUCCCUCCAUCACCUUCACCACCAGCGGGCACUUCCGGUAACGACACCAUCACUUCUUCACCUUCUGUGCCUUCCAGUCCCAUGGCCAAACCAGCACCCAUCUCUGGUUCGAUGGAGAAAUGCAGUGGAUUUCUCCUGCAAUGCUCGCUGGUCCUGGAGAUGCAGCCGCACUUAUAUCCCACCGAGAAAUCCAAAGUGGCAUUCAUCAUUUCACAGUUAAAAGUUUAGAACUCUCGCGGCCACAAGUGGGUGGAAUCAACAAGCUUUACUGACUACCUAUCAACAAGAAUUUGGACCCCCGAGUGCGGUUGCAUCUCGCUGCAUACGAGGAUACCAUCGGGCUUGAAUGUUUCAUCCAACUCUCCAUACGCUUCGCCACUCGUAUGCAGUCGUGUCUCGAAGAGCACCAGGGCCAUCCUCAGCACAACAUCUCCCUCUGCCGACCAGAACCCAUCAGCCCUCCAGAACCAGCCCACGAACCCAUGCAAAUGGACUCUACCCGCCUGACUGUGGCUGAACGGCAGAGAAGGCUGACCCAGAAUCUGUGCAUAUACUGCGGAUCUCCGGGGCAUAUCCUCUCCACAUGCCCCAUACACCCUCCUCGUUCUCUGUCAAUGCACUCCUCGAUUCUGGGUUAGCCGGCAACUUCGUCUCUGGCUCCCUCUGCCGUCAGCUCAGCCUCUGACCACGGCCACGCAAUCCUCCUGGCCGUAUGGCCUGGUCAACGCCCCCUCCGUAUUCCAGGACUUCAUCCACGAGGUUCUCCGGGAAUUUCUCCACAAAUUCGUCCUGGUCUACAUAGAUGACAUCCUGAUUUACUCCCGGAGCUUGACAGAACAUCGUCACCACAUUGCGGAGGUUCUGAAACGCCUGAGGGAAUCUCAACUUUACCUGAAAGCGGAAAAGUGCUCCAUCAGCCCUCAGUGCAGUUCCUUGGAUACAACAUCGACACCAGUGGCAUCCGGAUGGACGAGGGGAAGGUGGAUGCCAUCAGGAACUGGCCAACACCCACUACCGUCAAAGAACUCCAAAGAUUCUUCGGCUUCUCCAAUUUCUACCGCCGCUUCAUCCAGAAUUAUAGCUCCAUCACCAGUCCACUUACAAGCCUUCUCCGAAAUAAGCCCAAGUCUCUGUCCUGGACCCCAUCGGCCACAGAGGCCUUCGCUACCCUCAAGGAAGCCUUCACUACCUCUCCUCUCCUGGUUCAUCCUGACCCCGACAAGCCGUUCAUAGUGGAAGUUAACCCUCUGGAGUCUAAGGGUAUUUUUGGGGCCUGGAGAAAUUUUGUCAUGCCCUGACAUUUGUGCUUUUUUCAGUUUCUUAUAAAUAUCUAAAUGGCUAAAGUCUAAUCUCACUGUAAUCAGCACAAACUGGGCUAUAAUAUGUGAGCAGCAUGUAUGUAAAUGAUUGUGUUUUUGAGAAAAAUGUUAUGCGUGGUUGGUUAGUGGAAAAACUAAAAAUGUUAAAUCACUUGAAUAAGGCAAUAAAACACAUACAGAAAAUUGGUUCCCGGGACUUUUGAGAACUGGAGCUUGUAGCCUAGAAUUUUCUUUUCUAAAUGAUGUGAAAAUCAUCUUGUUUACUCACUUACAGAAAACAACAUUGAUUUAAAUUUUCUAAGACACUUUUUGUUGGUAAAAGUCAUAUGCGAGUAGACAUCAACUAUCAUGAAUUCACACCCAAGAAGACAAAGGCCUGCAUAAUGAGCCAUUCAGUCAGCUGUGUCACUGAGAGGGAUGAGUUACAAGAAAGAAUGUGAGGAC